ACUCAGUAGCUGAGUGGACAACGCGAUGGAGUUUGAAGCGAACGGUGCUGGGUUCGAGUCCCUCGCAGAGUGA
Molecule: transfer RNA, 73 nt
Filed under: Schistosoma mansoni
Lineage: Eukaryota; Metazoa; Platyhelminthes; Trematoda; Strigeidida; Schistosomatidae
Source: RNAcentral